Molecule: ribosomal RNA, 243 nt
Filed under: uncultured bacterium
Lineage: Bacteria
Description: partial 16S ribosomal RNA
Rfam family: Bacterial small subunit ribosomal RNA
Source: RNAcentral
CACGCCGUAAACGAUGUCAACUAGCCGUUGGGAGCCUUGAGCUCUUAGUGGCGCAGCUAACGCAUUAAGUUGACCGCCUGGGGAGUACGGCCGCAAGGUUAAAACUCAAAUGAAUUGACGGGGGCCCGCACAAGCGGCGGAGCAUGCGGAUUAAUUCGAUGCAACGCGAAGAACCUUACCAAGGCUUGACAUAUAGAGGAAACGGCCAGAGAUGGUCGCCCCGCAAGGUCUCUAUACAGGUGG